RNAcentral lists this non-coding RNA (202 nucleotides) under Fervidicola ferrireducens. Its description in RNAcentral is "T-box sequence". It matches the Rfam family "T-box leader". From Rfam's summary of the family: Uncharged tRNA acts as the effector for transcription antitermination of genes in the T-box leader family. The record is from RNAcentral. Lineage: Bacteria; Bacillati; Bacillota; Clostridia; Thermosediminibacterales; Thermosediminibacteraceae.
GCAAAGACUAUGAUGGGGAUUGUAGGCCCGAUACCCUUACAGAGAGAAACCGCCGGCGGCUGAGAGCGGUUUCAAGGAAAGGCGGGACCGAAGUUGCGCCCCGGAGUUCAGGCCUUGAAGUUAAAAGUAGAGGCCUGCGGCUUAGGCCGUUAAGGAAAAGAGUGAAAAAUCAGAGUGGGACCGCGGGCCUUUCGCCUCUGGA